This 1481-nucleotide ribosomal RNA is filed under the name metagenome. RNAcentral's name for it is "bacterial LSU rRNA". It matches the Rfam family "Bacterial large subunit ribosomal RNA", at positions 1447 to 2925 of the family's 2925-position model. The record is from RNAcentral.
CCUCCUCACCAUUUGAGCAAUGGGGGGACGCAGGAGGAUAGGGUAAGCGCGGUAUUGGAUAUCCGCGUCCAAGCAGUUAGGCUGGGAAAUAGGCAAAUCCGUUUCCCAUAAGGCUGAGCUGUGAUGGCGAGCGAAAUAUAGUAGCGAAGUUCCUGAUUCCACACUGCCAAGAAAAGCCUCUAGCGAGGUGAGAGGUGCCCGUACCGCAAACCGACACAGGUAGGCGAGGAGAGAAUCCUAAGGUGAUCGAGAGAACUCUCGUUAAGGAACUCGGCAAAAUGACCCCGUAACUUCGGGAGAAGGGGUGCUCUGUUAGGGUGCAAGCCCGAGAGAGCCGCAGUGAAUAGGCCCAGGCGACUGUUUAGCAAAAACACAGGUCUCUGCGAAGCCGUAAGGCGAAGUAUAGGGGCUGACGCCUGCCCGGUGCUGGAAGGUUAAGAGGAGCGCUUAGCGUAAGCGAAGGUGCGAAUUGAAGCCCCAGUAAACGGCGGCCGUAACAAUAACGGUCCUAAGGUAGCGAAAUUCCUUGUCGGGUAAGUUCCGACCCGCACGAAAGGCGCAACGAUCUGGGCACUGUCUCAACGAGAGACUCGGUGAAAUUAUAGUACCUGUGAAGAUGCAGGUUACCCGCGACAGGACGGAAAGACCCCGUGGAGCUUUACUGCAGCCUGAUAUUGAAUGUUGGUACAGCUUGUACAGGAUAGGUAGGAGCCUUGGAAACCGGAGCGCCAGCUUUGGUGGAGGCAUCGGUGGGAUACUACCCUGGCUGUAUUGACCUUCUAACCCGCCGCCCUUAUCGGGCGGGGAGACAGUGUCAGGUGGGCAGUUUGACUGGGGCGGUCGCCUCCUAAAAGGUAACGGAGGCGCCCAAAGGUUCCCUCAGAAUGGUUGGAAAUCAUUCGCAGAGUGUAAAGGCACAAGGGAGCUUGACUGCGAGACCUACAAGUCGAGCAGGGACGAAAGUCGGGCUUAGUGAUCCGGUGGUUCCGCAUGGAAGGGCCAUCGCUCAACGGAUAGAAGCUACCCCGGGGAUAACAGGCUUAUCUCCCCCAAGAGUCCACAUCGACGGGGAGGUUUGGCACCUCGAUGUCGGCUCAUCGCAUCCUGGGGCUGUAGUCGGUCCCAAGGGUUGGGCUGUUCGCCCAUUAAAGCGGUACGCGAGCUGGGUUCAGAACGUCGUGAGACAGUUCGGUCCCUAUCCGUCGCGGGCGCAGGAAAUUUGAGAGGAGCCGUCCUUAGUACGAGAGGACCGGGAUGGACGCACCGCUGGUGUACCAGUUGUUCUGCCAAGGGCAUCGCUGGGUAGCUAUGUGCGGACGGGAUAAGUGCUGAAAGCAUCUAAGCAUGAAGCCCCCCUCAAGAUGAGAUUUCCCAUUCCGCAAGGAAGUAAGAUCCCUGAAAGAUGAUCAGGUUGAUAGGUCUGAGGUGGAAGUGUGGCGACACAUGGAGCUGACAGAUACUAAUCGAUCGAGGACUUAACC